This is a long non-coding RNA of Aegilops tauschii subsp. strangulata, 3650 nucleotides long. RefSeq lists it as uncharacterized. The record is from RefSeq and is a predicted model, not a curated record. Lineage: Eukaryota; Viridiplantae; Streptophyta; Magnoliopsida; Poales; Poaceae.
CAUAUUACCAUCUUUAUAUCGCAAAACUAUUGCAAAGAAUCAAACUUAUCAUAUUCAGUGAUCUACAUGACAGUUUUUAUUCCUCUUGAAUACCUAUCAUAUUAGGACCCAUUUCAUAACUUAUGGAUACUGCCAUUUCUAUUAUCAUACUCUCAAAAUGAUAUAAGUGAAGCAUGAAAGUGCAAAUAUUUCUUUGAAAAUAACCACCGUCAUGCUCGAAAAGAUAUAAGUGAGAUAAUAGAGCAACUGCCUAGCUGAAAAUAUAUAAGUGAAGCACAAAGAGUAUUCUAACAAAUCACGAAUGAUGUGUGUCCCUCUCAAAAAAGUGUAUCCAGCAAAUAUGACUAUGGCAAACUAAAAAGAAAACAAAGCAAAGACUCAUAUAAUACACGAUGCUUCAAGCAAAACUCGUAUCAUGUGACGAAUAAAAAUAUAGCUCCAACUAAUUUACCGAACGUGGCUGCGGGCCUGACUCUGGAAUUCCGGCCACCAAUACCCUCGCCGGCGUCGCUCUCCUCAGCGGGAUGCCCUAGCGGAUCCCGGUUUUCCUACCUUGACGCGGAAUCCGUCCCAUCUGACGAGGGAGCUCCUACCAUCAAGAUCCAGAUGGCCAUGGACGUGCUCGACGAAGGUGGGUCUGCUGCAGGAUGGACUCCGGUGGUUCGCCAAAGGAGGAAGAUGGGGGCUGAGCCGGUACAAGAAUUAUGGGAGGACACCGGCUUCCCCACCCUGGCGUCGUGUUUCUAGGAGAGCAAUCAUCAUCUUCGUCGGAGUUCGCACUACAUCACAACACUUAAUUAGGGGCAGUUAACUGUCGGGAGAAAUACUAGAUUAAAGGCAAAUUAUCUGCCGGGAAUUGUUUUACUGCCGGUAGAAGGAUUCAAUGGCAGAUAAACUGCCGGGAGAAUUUGAGCAUGGCCCACCCGAGCGAGACUGUCCCCGUGGCGCGAGACUGAAAUUACUCGGCCCAAACCCGCUGGCGCGAGAGAGCGCGCGUGGGCUGAAAAUAUUCACAGAAAAACGUUAUAGGCGCCGCCCCCACCAGUUCUGCCCCAAAUCGAACCCUCCUCCCCAUCUCAGCCCUCCCGUCGGACCGACGCCGCCGCCGAGCCCUUCCGCCCUCUACAGCCCCCUCCACCGCUAACCUGUUCAACCUCCACCAAUAUUAAUGGUGCGGGUGCAUCGAGGUCGACGUCGCCUCCCUCCACACCCAUCUGGUGUGCGAGGUGGACAUCGCCGUCCUCCCUUGGGCUCCGCCAUCGAGAUUGGUCAACACCGUCGGUGCUCGAAGCUUGCCUCCCUCCCCAACACCAGAUCCGACGGCAGCACCGAGCCCCUCCAUCGUGCCGCAAGCCCGCCGACGGCAAGCACCAGAGGAAGCGGUGCUUCUUGGCUCCUCUACCAUCUCUGGGUCGUCGCGCCACCACCAUGCCGCCACGCUCUACAUCCCCGCGGACCUCCAUCUGAUGACCAUGGGCGGGCUUCCUCCACCCCGAUGGCGAGCGCAGUGCAUGCUCGUCACUACGCAGGUACAAAAGGCUGCUCAGAUCUGUCAAGGUGGAAACCAGAUGCAGGUACUGAAGACAUAUAAUGAAUGUUGGGAUCCUUUCCCCCCUUGUCUUUGAAGGAUUUGUGUGUAGAAUAAUGAGAUGUAUAGGGGGGUUGAGUUACAGAGGGAGUUGCUAUCAUCAAUUCAUCAUGCACAUACAUGCUAGUUCCUUAACUCUCCUCAUACUCACGUGAUUAAUUCAGUGCAUGUUAAACAUUUUUUACGUCUGUUUCAGUUAUAGAUGCUGCUCCUCUCUAAAUAGGUGGCUGGAAGAACCCCUAUCUUUAAUUUUGCCUAAACUUGUAACAGGUCGUGGAUUAAUAAAGGUUACUUUUUCUGUAAAAAAAUGUACGCUCAGUUGUGGACUGGACUGCAGUGCUUUCUGUAAAAACAAACUUCAUACCUUGUUUUCAUAAUGUCAGAAAACUAUUCUUGAUGGUUUUGUAGGUUGACGGCGGAUACUUGAGAGUAUUUGGUUUAUGUAACUUCUAAGCAGGUUCAUUGAUUCUAGAGUUGCCGCCUUCUGUUAUGUGUAGAUGUAAAUGUAAAAGAAACAGUAAGUAAUCUCCCUUUCUUUUCUUUUGUAUUUGUCAUGAUUUUAUAUAACAUGUCUUAUUGCAGCUAUGCAUUGCUUCAAUUGUACUGAUCGCCUAUGAUAAAAAGGGAAUAAUAUUUUGUCCAAAGUGAGCAGAUGAGAGAAUAAUAAUGCUUAUUUUCUGACAAACAAUGUGGCUUCCGUAAUAGCCUACAGUAGCUCUGGACUGAACUAGACGGGCGCUCUCUGCUACCUUGCAAGUCUGUGUGUUACCUCACAUGAAAGUAUACUCAUUCACACGCUGCUAUAUUAUCUCCUAAUGCCUUCCCCUAAUAACAGAGCCCGUAAUCAGUACAUGUCAGGAAUAUGUCCUCAUCUGUACACAUAAAUUUCUACUACUGUACAUUGCAUCUUAUUUAUUGUAUGCUUUUCUGGUCUAAUGAACUGGAAUUGAAGUCCUGUUUUGGUUUGUUCUUAAAUCUGACGUAUGUACCUGAAUACCAUCUAUGGUUUACUUUCUUAGAUACAUUAAAUUUUAGUAAGUUUCAUGGAAACAAUUUUGCACAUCUAAAGUAUGGUGCGACCCCUUCUGAUUGCUUUCCGCACUAUUGUAUAUUUAAAACAUGAUUCAUAUAUGAUAUUUUUCAAUUUGUUAUCCUCCCAUAAUCACCCAGUUAAUGUAUUCCGCCAUUAAAAGUAUACCAGAUGCUCUUUUAUUACUGUAUUUUACACUCUUGGGUACAACUUAUUUGUUUUGUUGUCUUUACUAGGGAGACACUUCAUUGUUCUUUUAAGUGAUCAAAGUCAGCAGAAUUCUUUUUUGUAACAUUGUUCUCAUCUCUGAACACUUACAAUGAAACACAUUAAUUGACAUAUGAUUUGUUAGCUUUCUAUAACGUUUUAUUUCUCUGAAAUCAAUUAUUGCAAAGAUUCAUUGCCAGUGCUCCAUGUUGUAAAGAUUCAAUGUUUUAGUGGUUAUAUUAACCCAAAGUUUUCUUUAAAUGGUUAUCUCAUUACAUCCAGCAUCUGCUGUUAGUUGUUUUUCAUCUGUACCAUCUUAUCUGUUCAGGUUGGCAUCACACUUGAAGAUCUUUUGGUUAACAUGUAGUUAUACUAGUGAACUAGGAUGUCUACAUGGUGAUUCAUUUGUUCAUAGUGACAACACAAUCAGGUGGGGUGAGGCUAUCAAUCUGUGAUCUUUCAAGCAUUGCAAGUUUGGUGCUCUUCUGCUGGCGACAUGGGGCCAUCUUUGAAUAAUGCAGUUUCACAUGAUGAUGGCGAGUCUGGUUUUCAGAACAUCUCAUGAAAAUGGCAAUGUCAUUUGACAAACGGCUGUGCUGAAAUAUACAGAAGUGUGAACAUGCCAUUGUUUCCUAGACAUAGUUGUAGCCUUAUGUCAAGCUCAAACCGUUAGUGUAGCUUAGUUUGAAGACAUGACAUCUUAUUGUCGCAUGUAAAUUAUGUUUACCGAUGUGGUUGGUUGCUACUGAACACAUCUAUGGAUGUUGAAAUCUUGAAUUUUUAGUUUGAAUGUGUUUCAGGUCUGCUAUUGAAUCUUGAGUGAAA